Molecule: long non-coding RNA, 13792 nt
Filed under: Citrus x clementina
Lineage: Eukaryota; Viridiplantae; Streptophyta; Magnoliopsida; Sapindales; Rutaceae
Description: Citrus clementina (C. clementina) long non-coding RNA (CCLE_LNC006570)
Source: RNAcentral
UUUAUAUAUUUAUACCAUUGUAGCUCUAAAUCUAAAUAAAAUUUUGUAAAUGAAUGUGCAUAUGUUCAUCCUUACAAAAAAAGAAGAAUGAGAAAAUCAUGUCUAUUAUUGAAGUUUUGAUGACACAAACCUACAAAUUAAUUUGGAAUAAAAAAUAUAGUUGCAUCAUUAAUCAAUAGAUGGGCCAAGGACUUUAACUUUAACUUGACACGAAAAAAGAAUCGUGUCGACCCGGACUUGACUCAUUUAAUAAUCGUGUCAAAUUUAACGAUUUAUACAUAUUUAGUUGUGUCAUGUUCGUGUCGAAUAAUCAAAUCUUUUGAAAAUUUGUCACCUUUAAUGAUUACAACAACCUCUUAAGCUAGGACAAGCAGAGAAUUCAAAAGCAGGACAAAUAAUUCAGUGUUUUCUUAAAUUCAAAUUAUUGUGCAUAUAAUUUCUCAACUUUUCAAUUAUAUAAAAAUAAGUGCAACUUAUUUGGGAAACUUAUUCACUACAAGAAAAACGAGCUUUAGUGAUACUUGUCCUCGGACACUUAGAUAAAAUGUAUUAGCAUAUACAUACAGUUGGGCCAUUGCCUAUGUCUAAUUGACAAAUAUCACAAAUUGCUAAUGCGAUAGUGUCUGUAAAUUAAACAUUAGCGAUCCAUGACAUUAAGGUAUCACUAUUAAAAGAUUAAUAACUUUUGUUCUAUUUUAGUCUGAAUUCUAAUUCAACGCCUUUAUGACUUAACUGCUUAAGUUCAAAAAAAAAGAAACUAUUGAGAUACAAUUUUUAUUUUAAUAAUUAUGAAAAAUAAAAAAAAUCAAAACAAAUGCAUAGCCAAAUCAGCUUUAACCUAAAUUUCUUAAACUUCUAUUUCUAAACUCACCACCAUCCUUUCUUAACUCUCUAAAAGUUAAGAUUAAUACAAAACCUAGCUGCGUAAAUCUUGUAGGAUAAAAAUCAUAGUUGAACUCUCUGACUCAAUUUUCUAUAGCCACCAACUGAUUAAAUUUUAGGAGGCCACAUAAUCUUUGUGAAAGUUGUUGCAGACUAGCCAGCUAUUGAACCAGCUAUGAAGCUAUCAGAGUUGCCACAAGUUGCCACUAAAAUAUGAGCAGGCUAUUAACCUCGAUCCACCAUAGUUGUUGUUGUGCAAAUUUUUAGUAUACUCGCAAGUGCACGAAUCUUUAGAAAUAGAAUAGUGGUAAUAAGGUCGAACUCACAAGGAUUGCUAAAAGUUGGAAAGUCUAAUUUAAGUGUAAAAUUAAUGUUAAUCCUAACCUAGUUAAGCAAAUUAAGUUUUAAGAGAAUUUAAACUAAUUAGACUAAGAAAACAUCAAAUCAAAAGAGAUUUCAAUAAGGCAAAGGUUUACCAAGGUUUCAAAAUCCAUCAAUAUUCAAUUAGUAAUUAUUUAAUUAUCAAUUAAUCUCCAAUUUUUGAGUGACAACUCGAAAUCAGUUUAUGUCAUCUCAUAGAUAUAACAAUUAACCUAAAGUAAUUAAAUCUAAUGUAGAUUCUUUUUCACUUCAGGGGAGCAUUUAUAAGCAUUAGAUGUAUCGUAUUGAAAAAUAAAGAAUCAAAGUUUCCUAAACAUUUUACGUAUCCAACUUAUUGAAAAAUAAAUAAUCAAUGAGAUCACAUUAAUCAUGAUUUCAUCAAGUUUAAAUUAGUCAAAUAAUCUCUUAACUAUCUAGAAUAAAUGAUAAGAUGAAAAAGAUAAUUAUUCAAUUAAUCAUGUAAAAGAAGAACCAUAAUCAUCAAACAAGAUAUGUAAAGGAUUGAUUAAAUAAAAAGAUAAAUAUUUAAUUAAAUAGAGUUUCGUCAUUAACCUCAAUAUAAGAAAAUUAACUAGACGUAUAUUGAGUGCUGGAGAAUGUAUAUUUAUAUAGGGUAAAAUUGUUAUUUUAUUCUCCAAAGUCUCACUAACAUUUUCACUUUUACGUUUUUAAAUCUUUUAAGCUUUUAUUAGGUGUGUUUUAUUAUAAUUUAAGUAUUUUAUGUAUUUUAUGGAUAUUUUGUCCAUUUCACGACUAACAAGAAGUUAGACAGUGAAAUGAAUGGUAUUUUUGAACUUAGGAUGGUCGAAAACCUUAGGAGGAACAUAAAAAAGUAUUGGGUAUUGUUCACAUAUACGAUAUUGUUUAAGUAUACGGCACUGUUCACAUAUAUGGUCCAAUGACGUGGCAUUGAAUGAUGACAUGUCAACAUCCUAUUGGACCAAUGAUGUGGCAUUGACUAAUGAUGUGGCAAGAUACUAUUGAACCAAAAUACUGAUUUGGCGUUGACCGAUGACGUGACAACAUCUUAUUAGACUGAAAUGCUUAUGUGGUGUUGACUCAUGAUGUGUUCCAACCAAUCAAAGCUUGCCACGUGGUACUAUCUUGAGCGUGCGAAUUAUUUUCAUUUGAUGCCCAUGAUUUAUCAAUUGUAUCUAUAAAUAGAGGGCUCUCCCCUAAUUUGACACCCUUGAAUUUCUUUUUGAACUCUAUUUUCUAUAAUUCUCCCUCCAUAUUGUAUUUUCUACGUAUUUUAAUAAAAUUACCAUUUUACCCUUAGUUCAAUUAUGAGUGGCUAAUUUAGUUUCAACCUUAGGUUGAAGGUGAAACCUCAGCAUGAUUCAAGGGCUUAAUUAGGUAAGUUUAUUUUAUUUUCUUCUUUGAUUUAUAUGGCUUUUUUGACUCAUUGUCGAUAGACAGUGUAUCAUGUCUAGAUUUUACAUGGUAUACCGGCUCCUUAUUGAAGGAUCGUUACUAUCUGGGACAAUGAAAGCUUAACACCAUAUUAAUUAGAGAGAAAAUUUCCCUCUAGUAUUUUGUAAGUCGUCUUGACUCAGUGUCGACAAGGAGUGUAUCUAAGUAUUUUAGUGGAUGGUCUUCCCACAUUGUCGACAGAAGGAUUGUUAUCGUCUGGCAUAACGUGUUUUUUACACCACAUUUAGUGGAAGAUCAUUACCUCUGGCACACUGAGCGCUUGACCAUUGAGAAAGGUAAAUUCUCAAGUUAGCCAGUGCCCAAUCUUAAAGGAAAACAUAAAGUGAAUACAAGUUUAUCCUAGCAUCAUGAAGAAGUCAAAGUCGUUAUGACCUUGCGAAAAAGGCAAAGAAGUGGACAAAAAACAUACCGGUGACAAAGACAACUCUAGAAUCUGAAGACCUAUCAACAAAAGAGAAAGAAGAUAACAGCCCACGAGAAUAUAUUAUUGAGUGUUAGAAAAUGUAUAUUUAUAAAGGAGAAAAUCGUCAUUUUACACUUCAAGUUUUACUAACACCCUUACUUUUAUGUAUUUAAGCUUCUUGUCAUUUAAUUAUAUGUGUUGUAUUAUAAUUAAGUAUUUUAUGUAUUUUAGGGGCAUCAUAGUCAUUUCACAAUGAACGAGAGAUUAGACGGCAAAACAGACAUCACUUUUGAACUCAGGACGGUCGAAAACCUUAGGAGAAGCAGAAAAGGAAAAAUGGCAUUGUUCACAUGUACGGUACUAUUCACAUGUACGGUACUGUCUACGUUACUAUUCACGACACUGUUCACAUAGACGGAUUGAUGAUGUGGCAUUGACCGAUGAUGUGGCAUUGACUGAUGAGGUGUCACGAUCCUGUUGGACUAAAAUUCUUAUACACUGUUGAUUAAUGACGUGGCAGCAUAUCAGUGGACCAAAAAUCUCGCGUACGGUACAUGCAUUACACAUGAUUAUUUUCAACCAAACCGCGUCACUGUUCAAGCCGGGUCAAACCGUGUUACUGUUCAAACCGCGUGGUCAAGCCGCGUACAGUUGACUGAUGACGUGGCACAAUCUUAAGCGUCCAAACUGUUUUUAAUUCGAUGGCCACGAUUUACUCAAUGUAUCUAUAAAAAUGAGGCCUCCCCCCCCUAAUUGGAUAGCUCUGAAUCCAUUUUUGGACUCCAUUUUCUGUAAUUCCCUCUCCAUCUUAUAUUUUCUAUGUAUUUUAAUAAAUUUUCAUUUUGCCCCUAGUUCAAUUAUGAGUAGCUAAUUUUCUUUCAAGCUUGGGUUGAAGGUAAAGUCUCAACAUGUGUCAUGGACUUUAUUUGGUAAAUUUAUUUUCUUUUCCCCUAUAAUUUUUGUGGAUGUUUUGACUUCUCGUCGAUAAAUAAUAAUAAUCUUGUCUAGAUACCACAUUGGUUUCACCGGCUCUCUAGUACAAGGUUAUUAUUAUUUGUCACGAUAAACCAUUAGCACCAUAUUGAUUAGAGUGUGGUUCAUGAGGUGUGGAUUCCCCCUUCUUGAUUUAAUUGGCAUUAAUAAUAAAUAUUUAGCCCAUGGUGCAUGUUGAUACGGAUCCAGAUACCCAAGUACGUCAUUUCAAUAGAUUUCACUUCAAUUUAUUCUCGCAUUUUCAAUUCCAAUUUUAAAAUAAUCUAAGUUACAUUCACCACAAAUCCAACCACCCUCAUACAAAAUUAAUUCUACAUAUAAUUAAAAUCCACCUCCUCGUGGGAUCGGCACUCGUCACCAUUAAUCUAUUCUACAAUAGAUUCGUGUAUUUGCGAGUUCAAUAAAACUUGCACAAUAAGUUUUUGGCGCCGUUGCCGGGGAGGUAAGUUAUUUUAAUUCGUAAAAUUAAUUUUUGUGAAUAAUUUUUUUAUUUGUUUUCUUGUAUUUUUUUAUUAUUAAAAAAAAGAAAAAAAAGUGAAUCUGCAUUUAGAGGUAAUAAUUUCUUUCUUUCUCUAUUCUUUACAAUUCUGUAAUUUAAUUUUUAAGUUAUUUUUCUUUGUAAUUUUUGUUUAUCUUAUUAAUUUAAUUUUUAGUCAAUUUAUUGCAUGAAUUUUUUAGUGUGUUUUUAUAGAAAGGUUUUAACAGUGUAAUAAGGUUAGUACCGUAAUUUCUCAUUCUUCUUUAUUUUUAUUUGUUUUGUUCCCAUUUAUCUUUUGUUCUUUGCAUGCAUGGUCGUAGGUCAUUAUUACCUAAUCUUGAACCUAUAGACCUUGAACUUGAGAAAACACUUCGCACACACAAACAAGUUAAAAAUAAAAUGGAUUUGCAACCACAAGAGAGGCCAUUUAAGGACUACUUUAGUCCUUUAGCUAAUUUGAGCACAUCAUGCAUAAGAUACCCAAAUGUAGCUGCUAGGAGUUUUGAACUAAAACCUAGUGUGCUAAAUUGUCUCCCUACAUUCUAUGGCUUAGAAAAUGAGGACCCAUAUAAUCAUUUGAAUGAUUUUCAUGUUGUUUGUCAAACAUUUAGAUAUGAGAAUUUUUCAGAUGAUGAUGUUAAACUUAGACUAUUCCCAUUUUCUUUAAAGGAUAGAGCUCAUUCAUGGCUCAAUACAUUGCCUGCUAAUAGCAUCACAUCAUGGGAACAAAUGGUAACAAAAGUUUUGAAUAAAUAUUUCCCAGUGCAUAAAACUAAUGCUAUUCAUAGGGAAAUUUCAGAGUUUACCUAGAGAGAAGACGAGCAGUUUUUCAAAACAUGGGAGCGAUUCAAUGGGCUACUCUUGAAGUGUCCACAUUAUGGGUACGAGAAAUGGCACCAAUGCCAAUAAUUUUUGGAGGGAUUAUUGCCGAAUGUGCAAGAAUGGCUAAUGGCAACAAGUGGAGAAGAGCUGAUGUUAAAAAGUGCAUUAGAGAUUUAGGAAUUUUUCCAGCGACAAGCAGAUAAUUUCCAACAACGGAGUCGGUCGCUCAGGAAUACUAAAAGAAUUAAAGGAGUGAAUGAGGUUCACAUUGGCGAGUCAACGUUGAGAAUCAAAGAAGUUAAGGAGAUGGUUAAAGGUCUCGCUUGACAAAUAGCAUCGUUAUCAACUGCUAAAUCAACAGAGCCACAUGACCAUGACUCAUACUCAAAUCAAGCCAAUGCCAUAGGUGUAAUGAGAAAACUAUCAAAUUACAACCCAUACUCCAACACAUAUAACCUUGGAUGGAGAGACCACCGCAAUUUUUCAUGGUCUCAAGAAUUCCAACAGAAUGGACCAGUAGCUCUAGCUCCACCAAUGCAACCAAUUCCUCAAGCCUCUCAGCCCCCAUUUAGACCAUUCAAUUAGAACCAGAACUACUCUCAACCCAGACCAUGGGAGGAUGCAUUCUAGAAUUUCAAGAAUGUUACUCACUCUGCGAUUGAGUAACAGAACCGCACCAUUGAUGGAGUACGAAAUGAGUUGAGAGUCGGCUUCAACUCACAGGCCUAAUCAGUUUCAAGCCUCGAAAAGAUGGCGGGACAACUUGCUUCUUUAGUUCAAACCUUGGCAAUGACUGUUGAGAAAGGUAAGUUUCCAAGUCAACCAGUGCCUAAUCCUAAAGGAGUGCAUGAAGUAAGUACCAGUUCACCACAGCAGCAUGGAGAGGUCAAAGCAGUCAUGACCUUGCGAAAAGGAAAAGAAGUCGAUAAUAAAAUGGAGAUACCGGUGACAAAAGAAAAUCAAAUUGUACUUGUGAAUGUUGAGGACUCACCAUCGGAGGAGAAAGAAGAAACUAACCCACGAGAAUACGUUCCCAAAGCUCCAUUUCCUCAGAGGUUAGCUAAAGGAAAGAAGGAAAAAUCCACAGGUGAGAUUCUUGAAAUCUUCAAAUAGGUAAGUGUUAACAUUCCUUUGUUUGAUGCUAUUAAAUAAGUUCCAUCUUAUACCAAGUUUUUUAAAGAUCUUUGCACUAAAAAGAGAAACAUUUACGUUCAAAAGAAGGCAUUUUUAACAGAAAACGUUAGUUCUAUACUCCAACAUAAAAUUCCUCUAAAAUGCAAAGACACAGGCUUCCUCACUAUCUCAUGUAGUAUAGGGAACUACACAAUUGAGAAUGUUUUGUUGGAUUUAGGAGCUAUUAUAAAUCUGUUGCCUUACUCAGUAUUUUUGAAACUUGGUCUUAGAGAAUUACACCCAACUCUAGUAGUGUUACAGCUUACAGAUUGGUCCACGAAAAUACCUCGUAGUAUUGUGGAGGAUGUGCUUAUCCAGGUAGACAAGUUUUAUUUUUUUGUUGAUUUCAUUGUAAUUGACAUUCAACCAAUACAGGAUUCAAGGAAGCACAUCCCCAUUAUUUUAGGCCGACCUUUCUUGGCAACUGCGAAUGCUCACAUUCAAUGCAGGACUGGAAAUAUGUAGUUGUCCUUCGGCAACAUGACUAUGGAGCUGAACAUCUUCAACAUUACCAAACAACCUCCCAAAAAGUCAGGAGUCACAGUAGUUACCAAUGCUAAUAAUGAAUUUAUACCCACUAGAGUAACUACAUGAUGACGUGUAUGCAUUGAUUAUAGAAAGUUAAAUUCUGUCACAUGUAAAGACCAUUUUCCUUUACCAUUUAUUGAUCAAAUGCUUGAUAGAUUAGCAAGCCAUGAAUUUUAUUGCUUUUUAAAUGGUUACUCAGGAUAUAAUCAGAUUCUCAUAGCACCAAAAGAUCAAGAGAAAACCACUUUCACUUGCCAUGAAAGUAAAAUUCAGAAUAUCCUUUCAUUCUGCCAUGAACAAGCUUGUGGAGGCUAUUUCAGUGCUAAGAAAACAGCUACUAAGGUUUUACAAUGUGGUUUCUAUUGGCCAACUAUAUUUCGAGACGCUUACACUUUCUGUUCUUCAUGUGAUAGGUGUUAACGAAUGGGGAGCAUUACACGAAGGAACAUGAUGCCACUAAAUCCAAUUUCAGUGGUUGAGAUUUUUUACGUAUGGGUUAUCGACUUCAUGGGACCCUUUCCCCCUUCUUUUGGCCAUCAAUACAUAUUGGUUGCUAUUGAUUACGUAUCGAAAUGGGUAGAAGCAAUUCCAUGUAGAACCAAUGAUCACAAGGUGGUGAUAGGAUUUUUGAAAAGCAACAUUGUUUCACGCUUUAGAUUUCCUCGAGCGAUAAUCAGUAAUGGUGGUGCCCACUUUUGUAACAAAGCAUUCAAAGCUCUUUUGACAAAGUAUUCAACCACUCACAAAGUGGCGACCCUUUAUCAUUCGCAAACCAGUGGCCAAGUUGAGAUCUCCAAUCAAGAAAUAAAACACAUAUUAGAAAAAACAUUAAGGCCAGACAAAAAAGAUUGGUCAUUAAGACUUGAUGAUGCAUUAUGGGUAGAUAGAACGGCUUUCAAGACCUCGAUUGGGAUGUCGACCUACAGGCUAGUGUAUGGAAAAGCUUGCCACCUACCUGUGGAACUCGAGCAUCGUGCAUACUAGGCCAUCAAGAAAUUCAACUUUGACAUGCAGUAAGCUAGCUCAGAAAGAAGAUUACAGCUGGUAGAACUUGAAGAAAUUCGCAAUGAUGCAUAUGAAAAUGCCAAGAUUUACAAGCAGCGAAUGAAAGUCUUUCAUGACAAGCAAAUUAUGAGAAAAUCUUUUACUCCAGGUCAGAAUAUGCUUUUAUUCAAUUCUCGCUUGCACCUAUUCCCAGGUAAGUUACGCUCUCGAUGGUCUGGUCACUUUAUUGUUCACACUGUUUUUCCACAUGGGGCAGUUGAAAUUAAGGACCCAAAGAACGGUGUCACGUUUAAACUUAAUGGUCAAAGAUUAAAGCCAUAUCUAGAGUACCAACCACAUGGAGAGGACACCGAAAUAAAUUUGAGUGACCCACCAGAUUUAAAUUGAGUUUUUUUUUCUUUCUUUUCGGUGAUUUGAUUUGAUUUUUUUCUUUCUUUUUAUUAUUCUUUUGCUAAUUGAAAUUAUUUUUGCAUAAGUGUGUUUGUUUAACCAUUAAGUUUUCUCUUAUCAUUGUUAAUCAUGAGUACCAUAGCUAAACAGUUCCUCCUGAACAUUCUUCAACCACUUCAACGUGCAAAAUCUCAUCUCAUCAGACAGAUUCGAUUUUGUAAAACACAUCGUAUUUGGGCUUUGCAACCACCAGAGUUAGUACCCUAUGUUGAGGAUUUAAAAAGCCAACUUAGAGACAUUGAGAGAAGUGUCUAUAACAUCCAGUUGGAGCUUGAGGUAAAUUCAAUAAGAGGACGAUUUUAAUUUUCUUUGUGUGUUUUAAUUUGUUUUUCUGUUUGUGUGCUUUAGUUUGUUACCCCGGUGAAGUGGCGGAUAACGGUACUCCAUGACAAUCAAGUCGGUUACUUCAGUUUCCCAUAAUAAUUGAUAUUCUGAGGCGAAGGUAUGGAAAGAAACGAGAUUCUAGCAAAGCUUCACAAUCGAUUCCCUUCACUUCCUCAAAAUGCCCUCCUUACAAUCUCCAAAGCUCAGUACGAACGCAUGCGAUUGCUCAUGAGGAAUAACAUACCUGCUGACAUCCAUUAGUUAAUCGAGCCUAAAGUAUGAUUAGCAAGUGAGUUACCUCCAAAAUUUAUUGCAUACAUGCCUGGUUGUGGUAAAGGAAAUUAUGUAAGAAAACGAAGAGCUCGAAAAAUUACAGUUGCUUGUGAUAAGUGUGCCAGAAUGAGUUGCGAUAAAAAACCAUGUUCUUUAGGAAUGGUGUCUGAUAACAGGGAAGAUAAGAUUCAAUUCAUUAGUAAUGGCUUGAAUAAGGAGUCAUUGGAUGAUAUCCGUUUGUCUCUUGAAACGCAUCCCUGGUGGAUAUGUGCAAGGAGCGAUUCUCCAGUUAUGGCCAUUAUUCCAGAAAGAGCAUGCACGAUAUAGUCUCAAGAAUCUGACUAGAAACGACCCUGUUUGCCAGUUUAUAAGAAAACUGGAUGGGAAGCCUAUCCUCGACCCAUAGAUGGUGUUCAAGCCGUUUCUGGACGUAAAACCAGAGGAAGAUGUGAGCCACAGUCGCAACUACCUGUAAAUAUCCUUUUACUUCACUAUUAUUUUAUUUCACUGUUGUUUUAUCAUUUGCAUUAUUGUCUUUAAUAAUUUUAUUUUAUCAUUGUUUCUUUUUCUUUUUACUGUUUCCUUUUUGACUCGCGAGCUAUGUGCUUUACGCGUUAUUUGACACUGACAUGCACUAUGACUUUUUGUCAAGCACUUACAAAUUGUUUUUGAGAAAUAUCUCAAUGGUAGCUACUCCUAAUAGACAAUUCAAGAACAUUUGUGUGCUUUCUGGAUUUAACUAUGGCAAACAUAAAGAGUUCGUUGAGGCAGCCAUAGAUUUUGGUCAAAGCAUAGCAGAGAGAAAACUACACUUGGUGUAUGGAGGAUGUAAUCGAGGGUUAUCAAAAUUGGUCUCAGAAGCUGCUUUUGUCAAAGAAAGCUAAGUGUUAGGCAUCAUCCCAAGAGCCCUAAAACCUUUGGGCAGUUUGUCUGACCCACCAACUGGAGAAGAGUUAGUCGUCUCAGGUAUGUAAGAAAGAAUAACUGAAAUGCUUAAUCAUACUGAUGCUUUUAUUUUCCUUCUAGGAGAUCUUGCAACACUAGAGGCACUUAUCACACUAGCAUCUUGGGCCCAUAUGUACAUUCACCAGAAACUCAUCGGUUUGUUAAAUGUCAAUAACUUUUAUGAUGGUUUUAUCGCAUUUCUUAAUCAUGCAAUAAAAAACUAUUUCAUUCCUUCCAAUGUGAAAAAGCUUUUUAUUUGUGCUCACACUGCUAAUGAGUUACUUGAUAUGUUACAAGCUUAUAAACCAGAGCCAGACCCAUGGACCUCUGUGUUGGAGCAUCUAAAUAAUGACGGUAAUAGUAGCCGCAGUAAGAAGUACAAAUUAAAUUUAACUCUCCGCCUAUAAAUAUUUUCUUCUGUGUUACACCACCUAGGUGAUGUCUUCUAAACUCUACUUAUUUCCUUUAAAACAUUGAGGACAAUGUUUCGUUCUGGUUGGGAGGAGGGAAUAGUGGACAAUUAUGGAAUCUUGGUUAAGUUUUUACUAAUUUUUUGUUGUAGAAGCUAACUGUUGCUAACUUUUUGUGUUGAAGAUGGUUGAAUAUGGAGUGUAAUUACUCUAGAAACGCAUUUUCUUAGUUAAAAAAAAACAAAAAAAAUUCUAGAUAUUUUAUUUUUCUUUAUUAAUUUUUUUACAAUCAUUUUUCUUCUUCUUUAUAAUUUCUCCUUUAUAAAUAUACACUUUCUAAUUUUUUUGAGUCGAAGAUAGCUGAAUAUGGAGUGUAGUGCCUCUAGAAACCCAUCUUCUUAGUUAAAAAAAAACAUUUCUUUUUCUAUCAUUUUAAGUGUAACUUUUCUAAUUAGUUUUUCUGCAUCAUUUUCACAUUUCUGCAUGCAUAUUUUCCUUUCAUGUUUAGAAUAGGUUGGGGGGUAGAAUGUUGUUUAAAAAAAAUGUGUGAUUUGUUUUAACAUUGGAUGACAUGAUUAAUUUCAAAUUUUAGUAUUUGUAUGAUCUUUGGUCUUAAGUGAUGAUACUCUAUGUUUGCUACUUCACAUGUUGAUGUCGGAGAUAAAUAUGAGUUGCUUGAAGGAAUGAAUAUGUCAUAAUAAGUACCAAGUGAGUUUUUGAGCCUAUCAUUUUUCUUAGAGAAUAACCCUUUUGUCCAUUCUUUAUAUAGCUUAGCAGUUUAUUAUUUUAUACAUGAUCUCUAGAUUUCUUUUGAGUUAACACUUAAAAGAAAAGUUAUUGUAAAAUUAAAAAAAAAGAAAAAAAUGUGUGUUGCUACAUCUAGAGACCCAUUUAACUAGUAGAUAUGGAAGAUUCUUUAGAGUUCUAAAAAAUGAUGGAAAGGUCAUCUUUGAUUCGUUUGAGCCUUUCUAGCCAUCCCUUUUGUGAAAUAUCCAUAGUUAACCCUUUUGAGCCUUAAAAUAAAAAAAAAAACAUUUUUUUUGUCAACUUAUCAUCUUGACCCACUCCGAUUUGGAGUAUUACCCAAUGUCUUAUAAGUUUCAUCACCUAUUUAUGUUUAAGAAAAAUGUAAAUAAUUAUUUUGUUCAGUGACGUUGUGCCAAACAAAAGCAAAAAAAAAAUUAUUGUUUUAAAAAAAGAAAAAAAAGAAAAAAAAUAACAAUAAUAGGUGAAAUCCACCCUGCAACUUCCAACAAAAUACAAAACAAAAUUAAAAUCUCUGCAUUUUUCUCAAACAUACACUUUAUUUUCCUUAUUUCCCCUCCUUUGUUAGCCAUGUCUCUAGCCUACGUUACGUCCUAAUAAAAGUCCUUCUUGAUUUUAGGGAACGAUAGUCUGAAGUAGAAGCUAGUUAUAUGGACUAAAAAGAUGUAGUGGUGCAUAAACAAAAAAAAUAAAAAUAAAUAAAUUGGGUUGACUAGCAUUUUUAUUUGACUUGAGAUCGUAUUAUUUCUAAGCUGAGGCAUAUUUUUUUCAGCUUGGUGAGAGCAUGUGAUAUCACGUCUUUAUUAUUUUCUCUCAAUUACCAUUCAUUGGAAUGACUAUUUUUAUUGGGUUUAGUUUCUUUGUGAGAGUGUCACUACUUCCAGUGAGAUUUUGGGGUUUGACAUGUCAUUCUUGAAAGUAGCCAUGCCAAAGUCUACUGGGCUGAUUCAUGUGGAUGGUUGAUGUGGGUGUGAUGUUUCUUUAGACUGGAGAUAAUCCUUAUACUUUUAUUUGAUUACUAUCAUUAGUCUAAUUGAAUAAACAUUAUUGUUAAAAAAAAAUUAUUUUGGAUUUGAAUUUUAUUUUUGCUUUAUUUGCUAGGGACUAGCAAUAAGCUGGUUGGGGGGUGUGUUGAGUGUUAGAAAAUGUAUAUUUAUAAAGGAGAAAAUCGUCAUUUUAUACUUCAAAUUUUACUAACACCCUUACUUUUAUGUAUUUAAGCUUCUUGUCAUUUAAUUAUGUGUGUUAUAUUAUAAUUAAGUAUUUUAUGUAUUUUAGGGGCAUCAUAGUCAUUUCACAAUGAACGAGAGAUUAGACGGCAAAACGGACAUCACUUUUGAACUCAGGACGGUCGAAAACCUUAGGAGGAGCAAGAAAGGAAAAAUGGCACUGUUCACAUGUACGGUACUGUUCACAUAUACGGUACUAUCUACGUUACUGUUUACGACACUGUUCACAUAGAUGGAUCGAUGGCGUGGCAUUGACCGAUGAUGUGGCAUUGACUGAUGAGGUGUCACGAUCCUAUUGGACUAAAAUUCUUAUGCACGGUUGAUCGAUGAUGUGGCAGCAUAGCAAUGGACCAAAAAUCUCGCGUACGGUACAUGCAUUACACAUGAUUAUUUUCAACCAAACCGCGUCACUAUUCAAGCCGGGUCAAACCGUGUUACUAUUCAAACUGCGUGGUCAAACCGCGUACUGUUGACUGAUGACGUGGCACAAUCCUGAGCGUCCAAACUGUUUUUAAUUCGAUGGCCACGAUUUACUCAAUGUAUCUAUAAAAAGGGGGUCUACCCCCCCUAAUUAGAUAGCUCUGAAUCCAUUUUUGGACUCCAUUUUCUGUAAUUCCCUCUCUAUCUUAUAUUUUCUACGUAUUUUAAUAAAUUUCUAUUUUGUCCCUAGUUCAAUUAUGAGUAGCUAAUUUUCUUUCAAGCUUGGGUUAAAGGUGAAGUCUCAACAUGUGUCAUGGGCUUUAUUUGGUAAAUUUAUUUUCUUUUCCCCUCUAAUUUUUGUGGAUGUUUUGACUUCUCGUCGACAAAUAAUAAAAAUCUUCUCUAGAUACCGCCUUGAUUUCACCGGUUCUCUAGUACAAGGUUAUUAUUAUUUGGCACGAUAAGCCCUUAGCAUCAUAUUGAUUAGAGUGUGGUUCAUGAGGUGUGGAUUCCCCCUUCAUGAUUUAAUUGGCAUUAAUAAUGAAUAUUUAGCCCAUGAUGCAUAUUGAUACGGAUCUAGAUACUCAAGUACGUUAUUUCAAUAUAUUUCACUUCAAUUUAUUCUCACCAUUUCAAUUCCAAUUUCAGAAUAAUCUAAUGCUGCGUUUACUUUUUGGAUUGGAGUGAGAAUCCUUGGAUUAGGAGUGUGGAGUGGGAGUGAGAGUAGGGUGUUUACUUAGACUAAAUGAAAGUAUAGAUUGUCAAUCAGAAUCCUAAUUAUUUGUUUACUUUGUCUUGGAUUGGGAGUAAAUUGUUUUAAAUUAUAAUUUAAUCCUUAUGUACAGAAUUAUAAUUUGUAAUUAAAAAAUUAAUAAAA